This 460-nucleotide ribosomal RNA is filed under the name uncultured bacterium. RNAcentral's name for it is "partial 16S ribosomal RNA". It matches the Rfam family "Bacterial small subunit ribosomal RNA", at positions 338 to 795 of the family's 1533-position model. The record is from RNAcentral.
CCUACGGGUGGCAGCAGUGAGGAAUAUUGGUCAAUGGACGGAAGUCUGAAGCAGCGACGCCGCGUGCAGGAAGACGGUUCUAUGAGCUGUAAACUGCUUUUGUACAAGGGAAAACCUGAAUACGUGUAUUCAGCUGAAAGUACUGUACGAAUAAGGAUCGGCCAACUCCGUGCCAGCAGCCGCGGUAAUACGGAGGAUCCAAGCGUUAUCCGGAUUUAUUGGGUUUAAAGGGUGCGUAGGCGGAUUGAUAAGUUAGAGGUGAAAUGUCCGAGCUUAACUCGGGAACUGCCUUUAAUACUGUUGAUCUAGAGAGUAGAUGCGGAAGGCGGAAUGUAUGGUGUAGGGGUGAAAUGCUUAGAGAUCAGACGGAACACCAAUUGCGAAGGCAGCUUACCAAUCUAUAUCUGACGUUGAGGCACGAAAGCGUGGGGAGCAAACAGGAUUAGAUACCCCAGUAGUC